GGUCAACCACCUGCACUAUCCCCCUGAUGCGUGUGAAGAGGACCCUGAAGUGAUUGGCUAUGAAGAUGGAGAUUAUGGGCAUGACUACCAUGGGGACAACAGGGUGAAGAGGAAAUCAAGCAGCUCACCUUCCCCUCGUCCAAAGAAAAGGAAGAAGAAGAAAUCUGGCUCUCGAAGGAGUCGGUUUGGCAGCUCCUCACCCAGUCGCAGAGAGAAGAAGAAAAAGAGUGGGAAGAAACACAAGCGAGACAGAUCUGCAUCUGGCUCCAGGAAAAAGAGAAGAUACAGGUCGGGAAGCCCAAAGAACAAACACAAAGACAAGAACAAACAGAAAAAGAGGUCCCCUGGUGAAACACCCAGCAGGAGUUCACAGCGUCAAGGCAGCUGCUGCAGCUCUCGUAGUCCCUCCUUGUCUUCCAUCAGGAGCGCCUCCAAAUCACCCACCAGAUUAAACUCCAAACACAAGACGGACGGUCAAAAGAUGAUUGGCACCCCGCAGUUCCCGGCCCCUGAGAGUCCCACCACUUGGCACAACGGGGACCACACCCAGCGAAGCCGCAACGGCAAGGCCGGCAGACUCAACCUCACCGAUGGCGAGAAAGGGAACGAUAAGUUCCACAUGCUGACUGCCAGCUCUGCAAGCAUCCAGUCAUCUCUGCUGAGAGAGAACAAGAUACACAGCGCCCCCAUCAGGAACCAGAUUGGAAAGAUGUGUGCGGCAGAAGAUGCUGGGAGUGUCGAUGGCAGGGGCACAGCUAUAGGGAGCUCUCUGAGCAAGGCGUCAGGGAGGAGAGGAGGCCAGAGAGGUCAGAAUAAGACCUCCCACUCCCCUGCUCACAGCAGUGACUCGACCCACUCCCAGCACAACCAUACUCACAGAGGGAGGAGCUCUCGUCACCAGAGAAAGGGAAAAGGUGGCCACUCUUCCAAGAGACACCACCGAUCCAGUCGGGGUCAGGCACGCCACCGGAGCACAUCAGCAUCUCCAGGGCGCCAAUCACACACGUCAGCCAACAAAGUCGGGAGCAAGGCAAACCUCCGACAGCGCAGCAGCUCCUGGAGCAGCGGACGUUCGUCCUCGCCCUCUGCCUCCAGAGACAGAGGACCCAGCAAGGCCAAGUCCCCACACAACAGGCAGAAUGCCUCCAGGGACAGGGAGAGUGCCAACCGCUCUGACACCGACAGCCGAGCUCGCCGCCGUUCACGCAGCUACUCACCUAUCCGCAAAAGAAGAAGAGAUUCGCCCAGCUUCAUGGAGGCUCGCAGGAUCACCAGCGCUCGGAAGCGGCCGAUUCCAUACUACCGGCCCAGUCCUUCAUCUUCCAGCUACGACAGCAGCCCGUCACGAUCCAGCCGCAGCCACAGCCGCAGCUACAGCAGCUACAGCCGCAGCAGAAGUCACAGCAGGAGCCACAGCAGGAGCCGGAGCCAGAGCUGGAGCCGCAGCCACAGCUGGAGUCGCAGCCAGAGCCGGAGCUGGAGUCGCAGCAGGAGCCGCUCCCGCAGCCACCACAGUUAUUACAGCCGCAGCAGCUAUGACAGCCCGGGGUUCUGAUGGCGACCAGCAGAACGAGAACAAAAAAAAAAACAGGAACAAAAGUAGGAGAAGUGCUGUUAAACCUGCUGCACUCCGGUAGAUUCAUUACGUAUCCUUAGCAAGUCCUCGGCAGGGGCCGCACUGCUGUACAGCCCGGGAUCCAAACUCCUUCACCAUGGACCAUUCUGUCUCUAACACAGAGCCUGGAUCAAAGA
Molecule: long non-coding RNA, 1752 nt
Organism: Oreochromis aureus
Lineage: Eukaryota; Metazoa; Chordata; Actinopteri; Cichliformes; Cichlidae
Source: Ensembl